UCCGUGGUAACACCACGGCAGUCCCCCGUGACACAAGUAACACGGGGCAAGGGUUGCGCUCGUUGCGGGACUUAACCCAACAUCUCACGACACGAGCUGACGACAGCCAUGCAGCACCGGUGUACCACCCUCGAAGGCAACCAGCUUUCGCUGGUUCGCAGGUACAUGUCAAGCCUGGGUAAGGUUCUGCGUGUUGCAUCGAAUUAAACCACAUGCUCCACCGCUUGUGCAGGCCCCCGUCAAUUCCUUUGAGUUUCAGCCUUGCGGCCGUACUCCCCAGGCGGGACACUUAAUGCGUUAGCUGCGACACCGAAGGGGUCGUCCCACCGGCAUCUAGUGCCCAUCGUUUACGGCGUGGACUAC
RNAcentral lists this unclassified non-coding RNA (363 nucleotides) under uncultured bacterium. RNAcentral's name for it is "contains 16S-23S intergenic spacer region". The record is from RNAcentral.